This 468-nucleotide ribosomal RNA is filed under the name Salmonella enterica. Its description in RNAcentral is "bacterial SSU rRNA". It matches the Rfam family "Bacterial small subunit ribosomal RNA", at positions 1 to 468 of the family's 1533-position model. The record is from RNAcentral. Lineage: Bacteria; Pseudomonadati; Pseudomonadota; Gammaproteobacteria; Enterobacterales; Enterobacteriaceae.
AAAUUGAAGAGUUUGAUCAUGGCUCAGAUUGAACGCUGGCGGCAGGCCUAACACAUGCAAGUCGAACGGUAGCACAGAGAGCUUGCUCUCGGGUGACGAGUGGCGGACGGGUGAGUAAUGUCUGGGAAACUGCCUGAUGGAGGGGGAUAACUACUGGAAACGGUGGCUAAUACCGCAUAACGUCGCAAGACCAAAGAGGGGGACCUUCGGGCCUCUUGCCAUCAGAUGUGCCCAGAUGGGAUUAGCUUGUUGGUGAGGUAACGGCUCACCAAGGCGACGAUCCCUAGCUGGUCUGAGAGGAUGACCAGCCACACUGGAACUGAGACCGGUCCAGACUCCUACGGGAGGCAGCAGUGGGGAAUAUUGCACAAUGGGCGCAAGCCUGAUGCAGCCAUGCCGCGUGUAUGAAGAAGGCCUUCGGGUUGUAAAGUACUUUCAGCGGGGAGGAAGGUGUUGUGGUUAAUAACC